Molecule: unclassified non-coding RNA, 1367 nt
Filed under: Hevea brasiliensis (rubber tree)
Lineage: Eukaryota; Viridiplantae; Streptophyta; Magnoliopsida; Malpighiales; Euphorbiaceae
Source: RNAcentral
GACCUGUAUACCAUGCUGAACAUAAACACCACUCCUGUUUUGCAAGAGAUGACUCGCAAUAUGUCAAUCAGCUUCAACCAAACAAAUACAAAGAUAAAUGAAAGAUAUGGCAGUGUAUCUUAUGGGCGCGUAUACACGGGGACAAUGCUGCACAGGAUUAGGGGAAUGAUAUGCAUGAUGGUGCUGGGCGGGGUGGGAGGUGGGGUAAAGAACACGCUAUAGAUGGGGUGAUGGGAUUUGAAUGGUUUGGGAGCCAAAAAGAAAUAAUUGAACCGAUGAACUUGUGUCAAUCUUUUUGCUGUUGUCCUGAGCUCUGCUUCUCCGUCGGCCCCCCCUCAUCCAUCAUUCCUGAUCAUCUCAUUUCUAAAUCAUUCGCACAAAGUGCUUUUUACAAGUUCUUCAGAAAUCAGUUCAAUGGGAGGUGACCGCGUCUGAUGUGCAAUGCAUUCUCUCACAUACCUGUUUCUGUUCUUCAAUGCAACUGCUACUAUAAGCUCCCUUCAGUAGAUCUGCCGCUCCCAGAGGCGUACUAGAUUCGCUGAUCGUAAAACUUUAAGCAUAAACUUUUCCAUCAAUAUUCCACGAAUUAAGUGAUCUCAUGCAAACUAUGUCGCAACAUCAACAAGAGACAUCCUGGCCGAAACCGACCAUCUCCAAUGCUUAUAUCAGAAACCCAAAUAAUGACACAACAAGAAAUUGUCUACAUUGUGUAUAUCAAUCAUCUGAUUGAAAAGAUGUAUGAGAAAGACCUCCUUUUGCUUCUACAUCUGUGGAGCUGGAUAAGACUGACCAUAGUAACCGGGAGCUUGAGGGUUGGUUGAUGUGUAGACUUGUGGGUAUGAUGCCAUCAUAUGAGCUUCUUGGUUACUGUUCAUAUAAACUCCAUGACCAUGAUUAUAUCCUGGCAUCAGCGUAGCAGAUGUGUUGGGUAUUUGUUGUUGCAUCUGCAUUGAAUGUUGCAAAUGCAUCGACUGUUGCAGCUGCAUAGACUGCUGCUGGAGCUGCAUUGUAUCCUGUAACUGCUCACCACCAGCUUGUAACAUCAACUGGGAAUAGACAUAUUCAUCAACUCUUUGCUUUGCAAGGGCGACCUGUUGUGCACUACCACCAAGGUGAACUUGUCUUUGUUUCUGCUCGCCUUUCCCACCAUGUACCUUAAUUGUCGCUCCAGACUCUGCACGGAUCCUUGAAAUAUUGGAGCCGCACCUUCCAAUCAACCCACCAGCUAAUGAUUCGGGAACUAACAUAGUCAGAUUUACAUAUUCAGCUGAAGAUGGAUCCACAUGUGGUUGAGGUGGACGAGAAUAACCAAGAUUGUAAGUCGGGCUGAUCGAAAUUACUUGUUUAGGGGGGUUAUCCCUCAAUUG